AAAUCAUCAUGCCCUUUAUGUCCUGGGCUACACACGUGCUACAAUGGCCUGUACAAAGGGCAGCAAAGGGGCAAACCCGGAGCAAAUACCCAAAAACAGGUCUCAGUUCGGAUUGCAGGCUGCAACUCGCCUGCAAUGAAGUCGGAAUCGCUAGUAAUCGCAGGUCAGCAUACUCGCGGUGAAUACGUUCCCGGGCCUU
Molecule: ribosomal RNA, 199 nt
Filed under: uncultured Desulfotomaculum sp.
Lineage: Bacteria; Bacillati; Bacillota; Clostridia; Eubacteriales; Desulfotomaculaceae
Description: partial 16S ribosomal RNA
Rfam family: Bacterial small subunit ribosomal RNA
Source: RNAcentral